GAUGAACGCUAGCGGCAGGCUUAACACAUGCAAGUCGAGGGGCAGCGGGGAGUAGCAAUACUCCGCCGGCGACCGGCGCACGGGUGCGUAACGCGUAUGCAACCUACCUUUAACAGGGGCAUAACACUGAGAAAUUGGUACUAAUUCCCCAUAACAUUCGAGAAGGCAUCUUCUUGGGUUAAAAACUCCGGUGGUUAAAGAUGGGCAUGCGUUGUAUUAGCUAGUUGGUGAGGUAACGGCUCACCAAGGCAACGAUACAUAGGGGGACUGAGAGGUUAACCCCCCACAUUGGUACUGAGACACGGACCAAACUCCUACGGGAGGCAGCAGUGAGGAAUAUUGGUCAAUGGACGCAAGUCUGAACCAGCCAUGCCGCGUGCAGGAAGACGGCUCUAUGAGUUGUAAACUGCUUUUGUACUAGGGUAAACGCUUCUACGUGUAGGAGCCGAAAGUAUAGUAC
RNAcentral lists this ribosomal RNA (460 nucleotides) under uncultured bacterium. RNAcentral describes it as "bacterial SSU rRNA". It matches the Rfam family "Bacterial small subunit ribosomal RNA", at positions 28 to 483 of the family's 1533-position model. The record is from RNAcentral.